RNAcentral lists this ribosomal RNA (435 nucleotides) under uncultured bacterium. Its description in RNAcentral is "partial 16S ribosomal RNA". It matches the Rfam family "Bacterial small subunit ribosomal RNA", at positions 29 to 507 of the family's 1533-position model. The record is from RNAcentral.
AACGAACGCUGGCGGCAGGCCUAACACAUGCAAGUCGAGCGGACAUCUUCGGAUUUUAGCGGCGGACGGGUGGGUAACGCGGGGGAACGUGCGCGUGGCUUCGGAAUAGCCUCGGGAAACUGGGAGUAAUACCGGAUGUACCCUUUGGGGGAAAGAUUUAUCGGCAAAGGCUCGGCCCGCGUUGGAUUGCGUAGGUGGUGGGGUAAUGGCCUACCAAGCCGACGAUCCAUAGCUGGUUUGAGAGGAUGCUCCGCCACACUGGGACUGAGACACGGCCCAGACUCCUACGGGAGGCAGCAGUGGGGAAUCUUAGACAAUGGGGGAAACCCUGAUAAAGCCAUGCCGGGUGAGCGAUGAAGGCCUUAGGGUUGUAAAGCUCUUUCACCGGGGAAGAUAAUGACGGUACCCGGAGAAGAAGCCCCGGCUAACUCCGUG